This 77-nucleotide ribosomal RNA is filed under the name Seriola dumerili (greater amberjack). Lineage: Eukaryota; Metazoa; Chordata; Actinopteri; Carangiformes; Carangidae. The record is from RNAcentral.
ACUUACGGUCAUACCACUCUGAGCACGCCUGAUCUCGUCCGAUCCUGGAAGCCAAGCAGGGUCGGGCCUGGUUAGUA